AGUGAACGCUGGCGGUAGGCCUAACACAUGCAAGUCGAACGGCAGCACAGUAAGAGCUUGCUCUUACGGGUGGCGAGUGGCGGACGGGUGAGGAAUACAUCAGAAUCUACUUUUUCGUGGGGGAUAACGUAGGGAAACUUACGCUAAUACCGCAUACGACCUACGGGUGAAAGCAGGGGAUCUUCGGACCUUGCGCGAUUGAAUGAGCCGAUGUCGGAUUAGCUAGUUGGCGGGGUAAAGGCCCACCAAGGCAACGAUCCGUAGCUGGUCUGAGAGGAUGAUCAGCCACACUGGAACUGAGACACGGUCCAGACUCCUACGGGAGGCAGCAGUGGGGAAUAUUGGGCAAUGGGCGCAAGCCUGAUCCAGCCAUACCGCGUGGGUGAAGAAGGCCUUCGGGUUGUAAAGCCCUUUUGUUGGGAAAGAAAAGCAGCAGGUUAAUACCCCGCUGUUCUGACGGUACCCAAAGAAUAAGCACCGGCUAACUUCGUG
RNAcentral lists this ribosomal RNA (492 nucleotides) under uncultured bacterium. Its description in RNAcentral is "partial 16S ribosomal RNA". It matches the Rfam family "Bacterial small subunit ribosomal RNA", at positions 29 to 507 of the family's 1533-position model. The record is from RNAcentral.